AAUAUCUAUCAGUGGGCCUGUGGGUGGGUAUUUUAUACAGAUGAUGUUGCUUUGUUUUUCUCAUUUUCAGAAUUGCUUGCAAUUGCAUCUCAAAAAAGGAAAAAAAAAAUCCCCAUAGGAAAAAAGGUUGGAAAACCUAUUUUUUGAUUAAGGCUGUUACUUUUAUGAAAUUAUCCUUGGCAACUUAGGUAGCUUUGCAAAGGCAGGUGGAUACCAUUCUGAAUAAGUAUGAGCAAGUGUGUCUGCGCACCUAGGUUUUUCUCACCACCAUUUCUCAUGUGUAUGGAGUUAUGGUUGCAUCAAUUGUGACAGUUCCUUCUUUAAUGCGUCAGUAGUCUUUUGUGUGCACCUUUUAUGGUUGGGUUUUGGGUUUUGGGCUUUGGGCUUUUGCUUUCUCAGUACAUUACUUAUUGUAAGGGGAAACAUAAUUAACAGGAGGCCGACUGCUCUACAAG
This 455-nucleotide unclassified non-coding RNA is filed under the name Hevea brasiliensis (rubber tree). The record is from RNAcentral. Lineage: Eukaryota; Viridiplantae; Streptophyta; Magnoliopsida; Malpighiales; Euphorbiaceae.